This 973-nucleotide long non-coding RNA is filed under the name Coturnix japonica (Japanese quail). Its description in RNAcentral is "lncRNA (ENSCJPG00005000948.1)". The record is from RNAcentral. Lineage: Eukaryota; Metazoa; Chordata; Aves; Galliformes; Phasianidae.
CGCCGAAAUACUAUGGUGCCGCCCAGAUGGAGCCAUUAUAGACNNNNNNNNNNNNNNNNNNNNNNNNNUAUGGGAUCAUUAUGGGGUUAUUAUGGGAUUAUUAUGGGGUUAUUAUGGGGUUAUUAUGGGGUUAUUAUGGGAUGGCUAUAGGAUCACUAUGGGGUUAUUAUGGGGUUAUUAUGGGGUUAUUAUGGGGUUAUUAUGGGAUGUCCCCCCCCCCCAGAUCGCUCCCCAGACCUGGACAACUUCUCGGAGGAGGAGGAGGAGAGUUUCUCCUCGGAGCAGGACGGCAGCGACGACGCCAUUCAGGGGCAGGUGGGCCCCCCCCCCAUAGGAUCUCUUUGAUGAAGAGGAGGAGCUGCCCAAGAGGAAGAAGACGCAGCGGAAGCUGCUGGCGGCCGCAGGGAGGCAGCCCAACAUCAAACAGAAGUUCGUGGCGCUGCUGAAGAGGUUCAAAGUGUCGGAGGAGGCGCUGUGCAUGGAGCGCGUCUCGCGGAUGCGGGCGGUGGAGGACCUGGACCUGGCCGAGGACCUGGACGAGCUGUGCGCGUCCCUCGGUCUGUCCAACCCCAGCGACAGCGGCGCCGACAUCGACGACACCGACAGUGUCAUCAGCACCCCGAAACCCAGACUCAGGUCACAAUGAGGAGCCCAUAGAGCCCAUAGAGCCCAUAGAGCCCAUAGAGCCCAUAUAUCCCCCAUAGAGCCCAUAGACCCCAUAGAGCCCAUAGACCCCAUAGAGCCCAUAGACCCCAUAGAGCCCAUAGAGCCCAUAGACCCCAAUGGACCCCAUAGAGCCCAUAGACCCCAUAGAGCCCAUAGAGCCCAUAUCCCCCCCAUAGAGCCCAUAGAGCCCAUAGAGCCCAUAGAGCCCCCAUAGAGCCCAUAGAGCCCAUAGACCCCAUAUACCCCAUAGAGCCCAUAUCCCCCCCAUAGAGCCCAUAGACCCCAUAGAGCCCAUAUAUCCCCCAUG